This is a long non-coding RNA of Gallus gallus (chicken), 2879 nucleotides long. NCBI's taxonomy places the organism in Eukaryota, Metazoa, Chordata, Aves, Galliformes, Phasianidae. The record is from Ensembl.
CUGAUCCCACACGGACAGCCUGAUGGUCCCAUAGUGAGAUCCUGCUGAUCCCAUACAGACAGCCCACUGAUCCCAUACAGACAGCCCGCUGAUCCCAUACGGACAGCCUGCUGAUCCCAUACAGACAGCCCAUUGAUCCCAUAUGGACAGUGUGCUGAUCCCAUGGAGAGAUCCUACUGAUCCCAUAGGAACAGCCUGCUGAUCCCAUACAGACAGCCCACUGAUCCCACACGGACAGCCUUCUGAUCCCAUACGGACAGCCCACUGAUCCCAUAGGGACAGCCUUCUGAUCCCACACAGACAGCCUGGUGGUCCCAUAGUGAGAUCCUACUGAUCCCAUACAGACAGCCCACUGAUUCCAUAUGGACAGCCGCCUCAUCCCAUACAGACAGCCCACUGAUCCCAUUAGGUCAGCCGCCUCAUCCCAUACAGACAGCCCACUGAUCCCAUAGGAACAGUCUGCUGAUCCACACAGACAGCCUGGGGGUCCCAUAGUGAGAUCCUACUGAUCCCAUACAGACAGCCCACUGAUCCCACACGGACAGCCUGGUGGUCCCAUAGUGAGAUCCUACUGAUCCCAUAGGAACAGCCUGCUGAUCCCAUACAGACAGCCCACUGAUCCCAUACGGGCAGCCGCCUCAUCCCAUACAGACAGCCCACUGAUCCCACACGGAAAGCCUGGUGGUCCCAUAGUGAGAUCCUACUGAUCCCAUAGGGACAGCCUGCUGAUCCCAUACAGACAGCCCACUGAUCCCACACGGACAGCCUUCUGAUCCCAUACGGACAGCCUACUGAUCCCAUAGGGACAGCCUACAGAUCCCAUAGUGAGAUCCUGCUGAUCCCAUAGAGAGAUCCUGCUUAUCCCAUAGGAACAGCCUUCUGAUCCCAUACAGACAGCCCACUGAUCCCAUUAGGUCAGCCGCCUCAUCCCAUACAGACAGCCUACAGAUCCCAUAGGGACAGUCUGCUGAUCCCAUACAGACAGCCUGCUGAUCCCAUAGUGACAGCCUGCUGAUCCCAUAGGGACAGCCUGGUGAUGCCGUGGUGACAUUACGGUGAUCCCAUAGUGACAUCCUGCUGAUCUCAUAGGGACAGCUUGGUGAUCCCAUAGGGACAUCCUGGUGUUCCCAUACAGACAGCCCACUGAUCCCAUGGUGACGUUGCAGUGAUCCCAUAGUGACAGCCUGCUGAUCCCAUACGGGCAGCCCACUGAUCCCAUACGGACAGCUGCUGAUCCCAUAGUGAGAUCCUGCUGAUCCCAUAGAGAGAUCCUACUGAUCCCAUAGGAACAGCCUGCUGAUCCCAUACAGACAGCCCACUGAUCCCACACGGACAGCCUUCUGAUCCCAUACGGACAGCCUACAGAUCCCAUAGGGACAGUGCUGAUCCCAUACAGACAGCCUGCUGAUCCCAUAGUGACAGCCUGCUGAUCCCAUACAGACAGCCCACUGAUCCCAUUAGGUCAGCCGCCUCAUCCCAUACAGACAGCCCACUGAUCCCACACGGACUGCCUGGUGGUCCCAUAGUGAGAUCCUACUGAUCCCAUACAGACAGCCCACUGAUUCCAUAUGGACAGCCGCCUCAUCCCAUACAGACAGCCCACUGAUCCCACACGGACAGCCUGGUGGUCCCAUAGUGAGAUCCUACUGAUCCCAUAGAGAGAUCCUGCUUAUCCCAUAGGAACAGCCUGCUGAUCCCAUACAGACAGCCCACUGAUCCCAUUAGGUCAGCCUUCUGAUCCCAUACGGACAGCCUACAGAUCCCAUAGGGACAGUCUGCUGAUCCCAUACAGACAGCCUGCUGAUCCCAUAGUGACAUCCUGCUGAUCUCAUAGGGACAGCUUGGUGAUCCCAUAGGGACAUCCUGGUGAUCCCAUACAGACAGCCUGCUGAUCCCAUGGUGACGUUGCGGUGAUCCCAUAGUGACAGCCUUCUGAUCCCAUAGUGACAUCCUACUGAUCCCAUACAGACAGCCUUCUGAUCCCAUGGUGACGUUGCGGUGAUCCCAUAGUGACAGCCUGCUGAUCCCAUAGUGACAUCCUACUGAUCCCAUACAGACAGCCUUCUGAUCCCAUACGGACAGCCUACUGAUCCCAUAGUGACAGCCUGCUGAUCCCAUACAGACAGCCCACUGAUCCCAUAGGAACAGCCUGCUGAUCCCAUACAGACAGCCCACUGAUCCCAUACAGACAGCCCACUGAUCCCACACGGACAGCCUGGUGGUCCCAUAGUGAGAUCCUGCUGAUCCCAUACAGACAACCCACUGAUCCCAUACGGACAGCCACCUCAUCCCAUACAGACAGCCCACUGAUCCCACACGGACAGCCUGGUGGUCCCAUAGUGAGAUCCUACUGAUCCCAUAGUGAGAUCCUGCUGAUCCCAUAGAGAGAUCCUACUGAUCCCAUAGGAACAGCCUGCUGAUCCCAUACAGACAGCCCACCGAUCCCACACAGACAGCCUUCUGAUCCCAUACGGACAGCCUGCUGAUCCCAUAGUGAGAUCCUACUGAUCCCAUACAGACAGCACACUGAUUCCAUAUGGACAGCCACCUCAUCCCAUACAGACAGCCCACUGAUCCCAUACGGACAGCCUGGUGGUCCCAUAGUGAGAUCCUGCUGAUCCCAUAGAGAGAUCCUACUGAUCCCAUAGUGAGAUCCUGCUGAUCCCAUACAGACAGCCCACUGAUCCCACACGGACAACCUUCUGAUCCCAUACAGACAGCCUACUGAUCCCCUAGUGAGAUCCUGCUGAUCCCAUACAGACAGCCCACUGAUCCCAUACGGACAGCCGCCUCAUCCCAUACAGACAGCCCACUGAUCCCACACGGACAGCCUGCUGAUCCCAUAGUGAGAUCCUGCUGAUCCCAUAGAGAGAUCCUAC